RNA transcript from Physeter macrocephalus (sperm whale), 1280 nucleotides. It is a transcript of the gene named glutaredoxin and cysteine rich domain containing 1, with no coding region annotated. NCBI's taxonomy places the organism in Eukaryota, Metazoa, Chordata, Mammalia, Artiodactyla, Physeteridae. The record is from RefSeq and is a predicted model, not a curated record. The transcript has 2 exons.
AAGAAUUAGAUGAACGAUGCCGACGGGUUUCUGAAGCUCCUUCGCUUCCUGUCGUGUUCAUCGAUGGCCAUUAUCUUGGGGCAAAACAUACAUGAAAUUCAAGGAACAGCUGAAAAUGUGGUCCUGGCCAGAUAGGAGCAAUUCACCUCCAUAACAUCUCAGAAACACUCCCUUUAUCUUCUUCACUGUCUCCUUCUUGCUUUUUCUGGACUCUGGGUUAUUAAUUCCUUGAUGCAUCUCUGCAUGAGCUGAAAAAGUGGGAAAAUAUAGUGAGGGUAUAGACUUUUACCUUAGCCUAUUGCGUCAACUUCUGAACCAUAAGUUCUAGAUUUCAGUGGCAUAUUUUCAACUGAGAAACAUUAUUAGGAUCCAAGUAAGUAUCAGUGAUUGUGAUGAAUGCUGUGUAUAUUCUGAAGAGUAGAACAGACAUGUUGUCUCUUGUUCAUCUCUUUCAUAAAGAAGCAAGUGCAGGAGGAAGUCAACCAGAGCUCUGUGAGCAUAAGCCUUUAUUUGGUAAUGCUGACCACGAGAAGGCGUGGAAGGAGCUCUCUUACUUGGGAAAGGAGGACAAAAUGUUUUACAGGGCUGUAGCAAGAGUAGGUCAGUAGAAGUUCACCAGGUCCAAGGAAUAACUGGCCAAGGAUUGUUCUUUAAAGAGACGCAUUGUUCUUGUAGAUUAACCACAAGUGUCGGUCAAUUUGGAUUGUAUCAAGAAGGAUGGAGAGAACUAGUUAGGAGCUGGAGUCCUGUGCAAGAGAGUAUGGGCAGAAUCAGCUGCAGGAGACAAGGACAAAGGAGGACCAAGGACAAAAUCCUCAUUCCUUCAAUGUCUCUUAUUCAAGAUAAUCUGAGGGGUUGAUAAACAAGAGGAAAUGAAAAGACAGAGAUUCCUAUGAACCACAGAGUGCUAGGUAAUUCUAAGAUCAUCAAAAUUCUUAUGUGGAUUGGUGAAAAUUGCCAAAAUGAAUGAAGGACCACAGCUACGCCUUGCUCUGGUCCAGCUCCUACUGCAGUGGGAACAGGAAGUUGUGCAAGUAAAAUAUCUUCUUGAGUAUGUGCUGCUAUUCAAUAUGUUCCAUAAAUUUUCUUGUGUGCGUCCUAUAUAUACAGUCUUUCUCUCAUAAUCUAGUGGAAGAUACAAACUAGCCAUCACCCUAAUGAGUGUAUAAUCACAAAGUGAGAGCUUUGUUCUGAGGAAAAGGAAUAGGGUCUUUGAGAACACCUAAUAAGAUACCUUUACCCAGUCUAGGGGAUUAGGGAGGAAGAGAUGAGUAGAAGUU